This 305-nucleotide ribosomal RNA is filed under the name uncultured bacterium. Its description in RNAcentral is "partial 16S ribosomal RNA". It matches the Rfam family "Bacterial small subunit ribosomal RNA", at positions 506 to 809 of the family's 1533-position model. The record is from RNAcentral.
ACAGCAGUAGCCGCGGUAAUACGUAGGUGGCAAGCGUUGUCCGGAAUUAUUGGGCGUAAAGGGCUCGCAGGCGGUUUCUUAAGUCUGAUGUGAAAGCCCCCGGCUCAACCGGGGAGGGUCAUUGGAAACUGGGAAACUUGAGUGCAGAAGAGGAGAGUGGAAUUCCACGUGUAGCGGUGAAAUGCGUAGAGAUGUGGAGGAACACCAGUGGCGAAGGCGACUCUCUGGUCUGUAACUGACGCUGAGGAGCGAAAGCGUGGGGAGCGAACAGGAUUAGAUACCCCCGUAGUCCCUGUCUCUUAUAA